GUGAAGUAGAGCCCACCAAAUUUGUGUACGCUAAAGCAUAGAUGGGUGAUGUGAUACCAUUGAUACGUUCUACGUUCACAGUCUCAGUACAUGAUCGUCAUGGCUCCGCUCGUAUGGAGUUCUAGAGGGAAUAUUAACCGGUUUUUAACUGAUGUUCAAAUAUUACAAUGCUUUAUUGUGUUAAUCGGUCUGUUUAAUUUAUCUGUGUGUCUCUACGAAGAUCAAAUCGGAAAAUUCGAUUGGAAACAGAAUUAUGUUGGUAAAAUCAAGUUCGCUAGUUUUGACACAGUCUCAACAGCAAAAAAAAUUAUUGUUGCUACUGAGGAAAAUGUUAUUGCUGCGUUAAACCUUAAGUCAGGACAAAUCUUAUGGAGACGUGUAUUAGAAAAGGGAUAUGCAGGUCAUAUUCGUGCAAUGGGAGGAGUUGCAGAUGGAGAUUUAGUAUCUAUAAGCGGAGGAGUACCAGCUAUUGUUCGUGCAUGGGAUUUAGCUACAGGUCACAUCCUUCAUGAAUGGCCCAUGGCAGAACAAAAUCCAGAUAGAAUCAAAGAUGUAAAAUGGCACAUAAAAGAUGGUAUGCUACAUCAUAUUCUACCUACUUAUAAUAGCGAUAUUAAAGUAACAUCAUAUGAUAGUAAAACAGGACACAAACUUCAAACAAGGAGAGUUCAUGCACCAUUUAUAAGUCAAGAAACAGAAUGUGUUCUGGCAGCUCCAUAUCUUGCAUGUUUAAAAGGGGAUAGCUCAUUAGCUGUACUGUUCUUAAUACACUUAUUUGAUGCAAAUGCUGAACCAGAAUCAGUUACAAUAAAUACAAUAUUUGGUGCUGGUGCACAAGGUCCAUAUCAUUUAGAACCAGUUUUAGGUGAAGAACCUGUUGUAUCAAUUAGUGCAGAUGGUAACCAAAGGAAACGAAUACUUGUGGUAAGAGAUGCUGUCAUUCCUAUUCAAAGAGAUAUAGCUGGUGAUGCUAUGCUCUAUACUGUUUCGGUUGACAAUGAGAAAGUGCUUCUGGAAACAACAUAUAAAGCUGGAACAACUGAAAUUACAGCCACAGAACUUUUAACAUCGGCACCCAUGCCGAAUUUAUCCAUGACUCUAACACAUUCCUCAUUGAUAUCACCAAAAGUCAUGUCAUCAGUUUGUCCUCGACAAGCAAAAGGCAUAACGUGUCGUCACUUAUUGUGUUCAGAAGAUCAUAGUGUCUCACUAUUGCAACAUAAUAAAUUAAUAUGGACUAGGGAAGAAGCACUUGCUAGUAUUGUGGCUGUGGACAUUAUAGAGUUGCCUAUGUCUGAUAGAGAACAGGCUAUUGAAACAGAAUUUGAUCAGAAAGAAAGUAUUGAUGUAGACAGUUCAUGGGAUGUGUUAAGUAUGAUGAUCAGAAGAGUCAGCUCACAAUUCAAACAGGCAAAAGCAUUUGUCCAAUCUAUAUUGAGUAUUCCACCACAACCUUCCAAUCAACGUACUGACUUGGUACAAGACAAAUUUGGGUUACAUAAAAUGAUUGUACUUGUUACAUCAACUGGAAAAUUAUACGGCAUCGAAACUAGGAAAGGCGAAAUUAUAUGGCAGCUUAGAGUCCCAAGCAUUCGAGGUUUUGUCAAAAGAUCUGAUGCGAUAGUUUUAUAUGUGCAACGUGGCAGCAGACAUUUUCCUUAUCCUCCACAGUGUACACUAUUAGCAGAAGAUAAAAAGACAGGAGAGGGAAUUCUAUACACAUUUAAUCCAAUUACUGGUCAACCGUUAGAUGGAUUAAUAAAAUUAGGAUAUAAAAUAAAGCAAUCUAUGUUGCUUCAUAUUACAACUGAUGAUUUCUUACGAAUUAUUCUUAUCCUUGAUAAUCGGGAUAAAGCGUAUGUAUAUCCCGAGGAAGCAACAGCAAUGGUAGCAUCGCUUGGUAAAAACAUAUAUAUGUUCACCGCUGAUCAAACAACAGGUGUAUUAUCUGGAUUUUCUCUUUCAUAUAGUACAUCUGAGGAACUUAUCGCUCAUAAGGUAUGGGAGCUAUUACUUUCACCGAGAAACCAAAGAAUAACACACGUUGUAUCGAAAAAUCCAAUAGAACGUGUUCACUCUCAAGGCAGAGUUUUGAGUGAUAGAUCUGUUCUGUACAAAUAUAUUAAUCCUAAUUUGGUUGCCAUAGUAACUGAAGGUGUUGGAUAUACCAAUAAAAAUACGCUUAAUCUAUAUUUAUUGGAUGCAGUGUCCGGAGCAAUGAUAUUUUCUAUUAUACACAAAAGAGUGCGUGGUCCAGCCCACGUUGUACAUUCAGAAAAUUGGAUAGUAUAUAGUUAUUUUAAUGAAAAAAGUCGUAGGACCGAGAUUGCUAGUCUAGAACUUUAUGAAGGAGAACAGCAGAGCAAUACCACAGUGUUCUCGUCUUUAUCUACCACUCAAUUGCCGAUUGUGGAAAGGCAGGCUUUCAUUUUCCCUGCAGCAAUAGAAUCAAUGCGGGAGACUAUCACAGAGAAGGGUAUUACAAGCAAGCAUAUUAUAGUGGCCCUUGCCAAUGGUGGUGUAUUAGAGUUACCAUGGAAGAUGGUGGAUCCACGACGGCCUAUUAAUCCAGAAAUACGCGAAGAAGGUGUAAUACCAUAUAUGCCAGAGAUACCCAUUCAAAUGGACGCAAUAAUUAAUUAUAAUCAAAGCGUGUUUAGGGUGUCGGGUGUUCACACUAGUCCUAGUGGCCUUGAAAGUACUUGCUUAGUUUUUGUACAUGGUCUUGACUUAUUCUAUACGCGCGUGGCACCAUCUAAAACGUUUGAUGUUCUUAAAGAAGAUUUCGAUUAUUACCUAAUUAUGAUAGUGUUAGCAGGGCUCUUAAUUUCAUCAUAUGUUACAAAGAAGUUAGCUUCACAGAAAGCGCAGAAGCAAGCAUGGAAAUGAUGAUUCAUUUUUCUUGAAAAAUUAGUGCAUAACAUUCUUAAGUAUCCGUUUCUUGAAGAACACACACUCUACAGCGAUAACAUAUAUCUGAAUAUUCGAGACAAAGUGUACUAGUCAUUGUAUGAAAAGUGGACCAUGAUCACUAAUUAGAUCACUAAAAUAACUGACAACAUGCUCAAGCUAUAAUUAAUUUUUCGUUCAAAAUACAGUGCUCUCUCGAAAAUUUCUAAUAAUAAUGUUUGUUUUAUUAUAAGUACAAAUGUUAUUAUUACGACUAUAUUUUUCUGGUGGAAAAUAAGAUCAUGUUUGACUUUAUUUAAAAUGACAAAUAAGGGGCUUUUUUGCGUAAUUCCCAUAGAUACCAAGAUAAUAAGUUUAAAAUUUUCGAGAGACAACUGUAUAUACAUAGUUACAGAUUUCUUUAUUAUGCGAACACUGUACAGUGACAAAUUUCAAAUCAUCAAAUAUCAAACUAAAAUGAAAUAUAUUGUGAUUUUUGCAAAAAGAUUUUAUUUUUCGACACAGCAUAAGACAUUAUUUCUUCUUUUAAUUGCUCAUAAAUAUGAUAAGAUAUACCAGUAAAAAUUUUACAUAGUCUAAGAGCUACGUUCGUCGUUAUUAGCAGAUUUUAUGUUAUAUCGAGCAUCUAGAUUUUCUAUUUGUUUGAAACUUUCAGCACUACUCCUGAUAGUCAUCUUAAACGUAUUUGUUCUACGUAUUAAGAGAAUCGAGUUUCUCCGAGUGCAAUGUUAUUAGUAUUAAUUUAAAAUCUCCCACAUUUCUAUAAAUGCUUUGUCAGCUGCUGCUAAAGAAAAGCCAUAUUUUCAAAUAUCCUAUUUAAUUUCUUUCAAAUUAUUAUAUAGAUAAUUUUUAACUUGACUGAUAAAUUCAAAAUAAGCAAAUCUGGAGGCAAAAAUAUAUUGUCAAUUAAUGUAGAUACAUUUAGGCAAUUUACUUCAAUAACACACAACAACACUAAUUUA
Molecule: non-coding RNA, 3872 nt
Organism: Megalopta genalis
Lineage: Eukaryota; Metazoa; Arthropoda; Insecta; Hymenoptera; Halictidae
Source: RefSeq, a predicted model, not a curated record